GCCAGCAGUCAUAUCAUCCUGCAACUCACAACUGGCAACCCACUGAAGCUAAGCAGAUGUGAGCCUGGUCAGUACCUGGAUGGAGACCUCCUGGGAAAAACUAAGGUUGCUGCUGGAA
Molecule: ribosomal RNA, 118 nt
Filed under: Lepisosteus oculatus (spotted gar)
Lineage: Eukaryota; Metazoa; Chordata; Actinopteri; Semionotiformes; Lepisosteidae
Source: RNAcentral